Molecule: ribosomal RNA, 493 nt
Filed under: uncultured bacterium
Lineage: Bacteria
Description: partial 16S ribosomal RNA
Rfam family: Bacterial small subunit ribosomal RNA
Source: RNAcentral
AUUGAACGCUGGCGGCAUGCUUUACACAUGCAAGUCGAACGGUAACAGGUUAAGCUGACGAGUGGCGAACGGGUGAGUAAUGCAUUGGAACGUGCCCGGUCGUGGGGGAUAACACUUCGAAAGAAGUGCUAAUACCGCAUACGAUCUGAGGAUGAAAGCGGGGGACCGUAAGGCCUCGCGCGAUCGGAGCGGCCGAUGUCAGAUUAGGUAGUUGGUGGGGUAAAGGCCCACCAAGCCGACGAUCUGUAGCUGGUCUGAGAGGACGACCAGCCACACUGGGAAUGGGACACGGCCCAGACUCCUACGGGAGGCAGCAGUGGGGAAUUUUGGACAAUGGGCGCAAGCCUGAUCCAGCAAUGCCGCGUGCAGGAAGAAGGCCUUCGGGUUGUAAACUGCUUUUGUACGGAGCGAAAAGGCUCCCUCUAAUACAGGGGGCUGAUGACGGUACCGUAAGAAUAAGCACCGGCUAACUACGUGCCAGCAGCCGCCGUAA